ACGCUAGCGGGAUGCUUUACACAUGUAAGUCGAACGGCAGCGCGAAGAAAGCUUGCUUUCUUUGGCGGCGAGUGGCGGACGGGUGAGUUAUGCAUCGGGAUGUGCCCAGUAGCGGGGGAUAACUACUCGAGAGAGUGGAUAAUACCGCAUAUUCUCUAAGGAGGAAAGAGGGGGACCUUAGGGCCUCUCACUACUGGAGCAGCCGAGGUCAGAUUAGCUAGUUGGUGGGGUAAAGGCCUACCAAGGCAACGAUCUGUAGCUGGUUUGAGAGGACGAGCCAGCCACACCUGGGACUGAGACACGGCC
This 306-nucleotide ribosomal RNA is filed under the name uncultured bacterium. Its description in RNAcentral is "bacterial SSU rRNA". It matches the Rfam family "Bacterial small subunit ribosomal RNA", at positions 33 to 331 of the family's 1533-position model. The record is from RNAcentral.